AACUACAAAAAAUAUUCCUUUCAAAUCUUUCAGAUAUAAACUCGUGUUUGAAAAAAAUUGCCAGCAUGUUAAAGAAGGAUCACAAGUGAGGACGAUAAAGUUGAUAAUUACGUGCUAUUAUUACCUGCAAGAGUUUUAAACAUCGUUUUCUUUGAACAUAAAACAUUAUUUUGAUGCAACCUUUCUACCUAUCUCUUCUGCGCCUUCCUUCAGCAGGUUGAUUAAUUUAUUAUAACCUAAGCUGUGUUUUAUUUGGUUUGAUAACUUCAUUUAGAGCCAAUAAAAUAUACAAUGUUGUAUAAAGUAUUUUUGUUGUAGAAGUAUUAUACAGGUAUUAUACACAAUAUGUCAACAUGAACAAGAAUAACAAAGGAAAUCAACUCUCAUUUUCUUGUGUCGUAUACUUCCUAACCAGAUAGAGUUCUCACCCAAUCAACCUAAAACUUAGAUUUAUUAGUGCUCAAGAUUUGACAUCAUUUGCUUGCUUGCGGUCAGUAAUUGUUCUCAAUUGGAUCGAAAACAACACGUUCAAAGUGCACCAGAGUGGGAACUCAAACUAGUUGAACACAAACGCAACUCGCUAUAGACACUCCGUCUCUGUUUAAACGUAAUACUCAUAUUGUGAGCAUAUAACACCUUGACUUUUAGCAGAUGAUGAUUGUUUUUUCGAGACAACAGAGUGGAAUGGUCAAAUCAAAUCACCCAAUAAUCCCACUUAUAAAUCGGGCUUAAAUUGUAAAUGGCAUAUUAAAGUCGCACUGGGAAAUGUCAUUGAACUUACGUUUGCAGAUUUUGCAAUGAGCAGUUACGCUGAUAAAAAUAAAUACGAAACCAAUUGUAGCGAUGCAACGGAUUUUACUGAAAUAUAUGAUGGUAACACAACUUCGAGUCGACUCCUUCAAAAAUUAUGUGGCUGGAGAAAAAGAACUAACUUGUUAACGACACAGAAUAACGUACUGAUUCAUAUGAAAACUGUAGAGAAAAAACAUCGUGGCUUCUUGUUAGAGGUAAGUAGUGUUUGUGAUCAACCUCGUUUCCAAGGCUUUUUCUUUUUUGACACUGAGGCAAAACCAUAGCGGUUCUAGCAUCAAGCAAAAACCCUGGAAACGAGGUUGUGUUUGUAGAUGAUGUGUAUAUUUUUACAUGGCUAGCCUUAUGUCUAUUAUUUUCUGCAGGGGCCUUGGCUUAGAUGGGGGAGUCUUAGAGCACUUAAUGCUUAUUUUGAGUUACGCAGACCCAAUUAAGAUCUGCGCUCUACCAGGCAAUUCCCUGCAAUAUCCAACGGCCCACACAGUGCCUUCUCCCCAAUUUCCCUCACAUGGCUUGAGCGUUCACUCCGCCGCUAAGGAUGAUGUGAUAAAGAUGUGAUAAAAGAUGUGAUAAAAGUCAAAACCAGCAACCUUUUUAUCAAAAUUCUAAAUCGUUUUAGGUGUGUGCAACACUAAAAUGACCAAACGAAGUGAUGUAAUUCAAUCACCAAAUUAUCCGGAUUUGUAUCCACGAGCUAUUACUUGUUCUUGGGUGAUUGAUUUUGUUAUGGUAUGGAUGUCACGUUGCAGUUUCCAAAAUUUGACAUUGAAUACCAACUUAACUGUACUUAUGAUUAUGUGACACUUCAUCAAGGUCUUAACAUCGCUUCACCAAUGCUAGGCAAAAGGUACUGUGAACUGAAAUCACCACCCUCGAUCACAUUUACCGGGCCGCUAACACUCAGUUUUGUCUCUGAUAUAGACACGGAAUACACUGGUUUCGUUGCAAAAUAUUUUACGAAAGGUUAGAAAAAAUUACUAUAUAUUGUCAAAUAUACACCAUGACUGUCUUCACUAAGUUUUGUUAUUUUAUUUUAGAUCGUAACAAAUGCAUUCUUUGACAUUAAUGUCAUACAAAUGCCGUAUGUGAAAAUACGAUUGGUUCUUAUAUAUGCACGUGCAAGCCAAGUUUCCGUGGUGAUGGUAGAUCAUGUGAAUGGUAUAAAGGUACGUGAGUUGAUUAAAAAUAUACUUGUAACUAUUAUCUGUAUAUCUAAAAUAUAUAU
Molecule: RNA transcript, 2035 nt
Organism: Hydractinia symbiolongicarpus
Lineage: Eukaryota; Metazoa; Cnidaria; Hydrozoa; Anthoathecata; Hydractiniidae
Gene name: cubilin-like
Exons: 3
Source: RefSeq, a predicted model, not a curated record